UACGUAGGGUCCAAGCGUUAUCCGGAAUCACUGGGCGUAAAGCGUACGUAGGCGGUUCGUUAAGUGAGAUGCGAAAUCUUGUGGCUCAACCAUAUAGAUGUUGUCUCAUACUGGCGAGCUUGAGGAUGGCAGAGGCAAGUGGAAUUACUAGUGUAGCAGUGAAAUGCGUAGAUAUUAGUAGGAACACCAAUGGCGAAGGCAGCUUGCUGGGCCAUUUCUGACGCUGAGGUACGAAAGCGUGGGGAGCGAACAGG
Molecule: ribosomal RNA, 254 nt
Filed under: uncultured bacterium
Lineage: Bacteria
Description: partial 16S ribosomal RNA
Rfam family: Bacterial small subunit ribosomal RNA
Source: RNAcentral